CCUACGGGGGGCAGCAGUGAGGAAUAUUGGUCAAUGGACGAGAGUCUGAACCAGCCAAGUAGCGUGAAGGAUGACUGCCCUAUGGGUUGUAAACUUCUUUUAUAUGGGAAUAAAAUGUUCCACGUGUGGGAUUUUGUAUGUACCAUAUGAAUAAGGAUCGGCUAACUCCGUGCCAGCAGCCGCGGUAAUACGGAGGAUCCGAGCGUUAUCCGGAUUUAUUGGGUUUAAGGGGAGCGUAGGUGGAUUGUUAAGUCAGUUGUGAAAGUUUGCGGCUCAACCGUAAGAUUGCAGUUGAAACUGGCAGUCUUGAGUACAGUAGAGGUGGGCGGAAUUCGUGGUGUAGCGGUGAAAUGCUUAGAUAUCACGAAGAACUCCAAUUGCGAAGGCAGCUCGCUGGACUGCAACUGACACUGAGGCUCGAAAGUGUGGGUAUCAAACAGGAUUAGAUACCCGUGUAGUC
RNAcentral lists this ribosomal RNA (460 nucleotides) under uncultured bacterium. RNAcentral describes it as "partial 16S ribosomal RNA". It matches the Rfam family "Bacterial small subunit ribosomal RNA", at positions 338 to 795 of the family's 1533-position model. The record is from RNAcentral.